RNAcentral lists this ribosomal RNA (252 nucleotides) under uncultured bacterium. Its description in RNAcentral is "partial 16S ribosomal RNA". It matches the Rfam family "Bacterial small subunit ribosomal RNA", at positions 525 to 776 of the family's 1533-position model. The record is from RNAcentral.
ACGAACCGUCCAAACGUUAUUCGGUAUCACUGGGCUUAAAGAGUUCGUAGGCGGCCAAAUAGGUCAGGUGUGAAAUCCCACAGCUCAACUGUGGAACUGCGCUUGAAACCACUUGGCUUGAGGGAGAUAGAGGUGAGCGGAACAGAUGGUGGAGCGGUGAAAUGCGUUGAUAUCAUCUGGAACACCGGUGGCGAAAGCGGCUCACUGGAUCUUUUCUGACGCUGAGGAACGAAAGCUAGGGUAGCGAACGGG